RNAcentral lists this transfer RNA (93 nucleotides) under Sphaerimonospora thailandensis. RNAcentral's name for it is "tRNA-Pro". Lineage: Bacteria; Bacillati; Actinomycetota; Actinomycetes; Streptosporangiales; Streptosporangiaceae. The record is from RNAcentral.
CCGCCGGUAGCCGGGGUUGUCCGGCCAGGCGGCACGGGGCGGCCGCGGCUGCGGCGUCUCGGUCAGCCAGUGUUCCAGGCCCUGGCCGGCGGG